GCCCCCACCUUGGCGUCUCUUCCCCAGAUGGUGCUAAGGAAGCAAUUGUUUCUUUAGUGGUUCCAGCUGAUUCCCUCCCUGCCAGUACCUGGAUUUCCUGUUGGGCUGGAUUUUUAGUGGGGGAGAAUUUUUCUCAGUUCCUCAAGUAAGGGUUUUAAACUCCAUAUUCAAUGAGAGGGCUGUGGAAUUUGGCUUCUUUACAAGAACUAAUCAAUGUAAAGUGGGGGCUACACUGCACCUGAUUUUCCCGGAGACCCCCACAGGAAUGGGAAAGAUCAUUUCUUCUUCUUGGGGGUAUGGAGCAUUCAAAACCCAUUUUAGAAUGUUGAUUUAGUCCUUCCAGAUGACUUCUUUGCAGAACACCUUCCUGAUAGGGAUCAUUCAAACUCCACUGGAGAUAGCACGAUGUGGGCGGGAAGCAGACCGCCUUGGCAGCCAAACUCAUGUGGACUCAGAUGUUAGCUCCAUCUUUACUGACUGGGUGACCUCGGGAAAGCCAGCCUCAGUUUCCCUCUCAGCCAACUGAGGUUCUCGGCCUUUACUCUCCUCUCUCCAACAAAAAAAGAGUUGGGAACAUUCCAAAAGUUGCCAUCCUGGUGCCACAGAGCAUCCCCCAUGAAGUGGCGCUGAAAGAUCACGUUAGCACAGUUCCAUGAUGUGAAAUACCACAAGUCUGCAAUUUUUCGGUCUUGAGAGCAUCGCUGGGUUGAGAGGAUGGAAAUCUUUCAGUAAUUAUACCAGUUUGUAUUCGUCUCACAUUUGGGACCAAAUACAAAUCCGAUCCACUCUUUCUCACUGUGAAUAUUCAUAAAAAACAAAGUGCCAAUUCUGGGCUAAUCAUGUAUGGAACCAAACAUGUUGGUGAGUCCUAAGUAUAUACUGUAUGUAUGUAUACAUGUGAAUAUAUAUAUUUAUAUACUCUAAAUUUGCUUGUGUCCUCCUCUGUGCAAUUUGUUUGUUUAGUAUAGGGGUUGCUGUUAUAAUGUGUUAAUAAGCUGCUGAAAGCUUGGCACCUAUUACUUGAAAUGACAGCUAUGUUAGAAGCCUAUUAACACUCAUAGCAGCAGCUCUGCAGCUACUAGAAAUGAAUUUCAAAGAAGGUAAAUGAACAAAAGCAAUUUAUAUCUCCAAGGAAAGCAAAUACCAUGCCCAGAACCAUAUAUAUACUUUGGAAAUGUACAGUAUAUAAAAUGAAAAAAAAAAAAAAACAAACAAACCUCUUCCAGUUAAAGAAACAGCGGAAGAGAACUUUGGCGAAAGGAAAACUGCCUAAAAGAUUUCCAAACAACCUUGAAGACAUAAAUGUUAAAGAUAACUUCCUCUCUUUGUUUCUAUUGUAUUUAAAUUAGAACCUUGUCAAACUUAGUUAUAGGAAUAGAACAGGACAGGUAGAGGAAAUUCACUUUUCUUUCAGUGAGAAAAAUUUAAAUCAUCUGGAUUUAGCCCAAACUUUUUCUUAGUCUCUGAACUUAGAAGGACACCAUUUGCUAUUGUUCUCUGAGGCAGGGCACUUUAUGAGUCAGUUCACCCUGUCUUUGAACUAUUUUAAUUACUUUUGACUGUCUCUGAAAUUUUACAAAACGGCUAAAAGUCCUGGGUAAACCUUAGCUAUGAUAAAAAAAAAAUGGUAAUUUAGAUUGGGAGUAGUUUUUUGUUUUUGUUUUUUUUCAAUGAUAUAGGCUGUGUG
This is an RNA transcript of Sus scrofa (pig), 1687 nucleotides long. RefSeq lists it as uncharacterized. NCBI's taxonomy places the organism in Eukaryota, Metazoa, Chordata, Mammalia, Artiodactyla, Suidae. The record is from RefSeq and is a predicted model, not a curated record.